This 497-nucleotide ribosomal RNA is filed under the name uncultured bacterium. RNAcentral's name for it is "partial 16S ribosomal RNA". It matches the Rfam family "Bacterial small subunit ribosomal RNA", at positions 28 to 507 of the family's 1533-position model. The record is from RNAcentral.
GAUGAACGCUGGCGGCGUGCCUAAUACAUGCAAGUCGAGCGAACGGACGAGAAGCUUGCUUCUCUGAUGUUAGCGGCGGACGGGUGAGUAACACGUGGAUAACCUACCUAUAAGACUGGGAUAACUUCGGGAAACCGGAGCUAAUACCGGAUAAUAUUUUGAACCGCAUGGUUCAAAAGUGAAAGACGGUCUUGCUGUCACUUAUAGAUGGAUCCGCGCUGCAUUAGCUAGUUGGUAAGGUAACGGCUUACCAAGGCAACGAUGCAUAGCCGACCUGAGAGGGUGAUCGGCCACACUGGCACUGGGACACGGUCCAGACUCCUACGGGAGGCAGCAGUAGGGGAUCUUCCGCAAUGGGCGAAAGCCUGACGGAGCAACGCCGCGUGAGUGAUGAAGGUCUUCGGAUCGUAAAACUCUGUUAUUAGGGAAGAACAUAUGUGUAAGUAACUGUGCACAUCUUGACGGUAACUAAUCAGAAAGCCACGGCUAACUACGUG